GCAACGGUCCACCUCAUCCAAGCAAAUUUGAACUGACUGGUUCUGUUGAGUUUCCUCUUCUGUAACACCCCAACGUAAGUCAAUUUCAACAAGAUUAAUCAUUCUCUUCUUGCAACGCUCACGCAACUCUGGGAACACGUGGCGUGUCAGCACGUCUCUUUCACCGUGC
This 169-nucleotide unclassified non-coding RNA is filed under the name plant metagenome. RNAcentral describes it as "partial contains 5.8S ribosomal RNA, internal transcribed spacer 2, and large subunit ribosomal RNA". The record is from RNAcentral.